UACGUAGGGGGCUAGCGUUGUCCGGAUUUAUUGGGCGUAAAGAGCGUGUAGGCGGCCAGGUAGGUCUGCUGUGAAAACUCGAGGCUCAACCUCGAGACGUCGGCGGAAACCAUCUGGCUAGAGUCCGGAAGAGGAGAGUGGAAUUCCUGGUGUAGCGGUGAAAUGCGCAGAUAUCGGGAAGAACACCCGUGGCGAAGGCGGUUCUCUGGGACGGUACUGACGCUGAGACGCGAAAGCUAGGGGAGCAAACGGG
RNAcentral lists this ribosomal RNA (253 nucleotides) under uncultured bacterium. RNAcentral's name for it is "partial 16S ribosomal RNA". It matches the Rfam family "Bacterial small subunit ribosomal RNA", at positions 524 to 776 of the family's 1533-position model. The record is from RNAcentral.